GGGUUCGAUCAUGGCUCAGGAUGAACGCUGGCGGCGUGCUUAACACAUGCAAGUCGAACGAACCUUCGGGUUAGUGGCGGACGGGUGAGUAACGCGUGAGAAUCUGCCCUCAGGAGGGGGAUAACGGUUGGAAACGACCGCUAAUACCCCAUAUGCCGCGAGGUGAAAUGAAUUUCGCCUGAGGAUGAGCUCGCGUCUGAUUAGUUAGUUGGUGGGGUAAAGGCCUACCAAGACAUCGAUCAGUAGCUGGUCUGAGAGGAUGAUCAGCCACACUGGGACUGAGACACGGCCCAGACUCCUACGGGAGGCAGCAGUGGGGAAUUUUCCGCAAUGGGCGAAAGCCUGACGGAGCAACGCCGCGUGAGGGAUGAAGGCCUCUGGGCUGUAAACCUCUUUUAUCAAGGAAGAAGAUCUGACGGUACUUGAUGAAUAAGCCACGGCUAAUUCCGUGC
This 452-nucleotide ribosomal RNA is filed under the name uncultured bacterium. Its description in RNAcentral is "bacterial SSU rRNA". It matches the Rfam family "Bacterial small subunit ribosomal RNA", at positions 9 to 508 of the family's 1533-position model. The record is from RNAcentral.